RNAcentral lists this ribosomal RNA (448 nucleotides) under Nematostella vectensis (starlet sea anemone). Its description in RNAcentral is "Eukaryotic large subunit ribosomal RNA". It matches the Rfam family "Eukaryotic large subunit ribosomal RNA", at positions 1456 to 1888 of the family's 3401-position model. The record is from Rfam by way of RNAcentral. Lineage: Eukaryota; Metazoa; Cnidaria; Anthozoa; Actiniaria; Edwardsiidae.
GGUAGUAGCAAAUAUUCAAAUGAGAGCUUUGAAGACCGAAGUGGAGAAAGGUUCCAUGUGAACAGCAGUUGGACAUGGGUUAGUCGAUCCUAAGAGAUAGGGAAAUUCCGUUUGCAAGCGCCCGAUCUUGGGCCGCCUAUCGAAAGGGAAUCGGGUUAAUAUUCCCGAACCGGGACGCGGAUAUUGCCGUUCUCGGCAAAUGCGGUAACGCAAACGAACCCGAAGACGCUAGCGGGGGCCCUGGGAAGAGUUCUCUUUUCUUUUUAACGAGCUUUCACCCUGAAAUCAGCUUGCCUGGAGAUAGGGUUUAAUGCUCGGUAAAGCACCACACUUCUUGUGGUGUCCGGUGCGCUCUCGACGGCCCUUGAAAAUUCGGGGAAGACAUUGAUUUUCGUGUCCGGUCGUACUCAUAACCGCAGCAGGUCUCCAAGGUGAGCAGCCUCUGGUU